RNAcentral lists this ribosomal RNA (282 nucleotides) under uncultured bacterium. RNAcentral describes it as "partial 16S ribosomal RNA". It matches the Rfam family "Bacterial small subunit ribosomal RNA", at positions 37 to 347 of the family's 1533-position model. The record is from RNAcentral.
UGGCGGCAUGCCUAACACAUGCAAGUCGAACGAGACCUUCGGGUCUAGUGGCGCACGGGUGCGUAACGCGUGGGAAUCUGCCCUUGGGUUCGGAAUAACUCAGAGAAAUUUGAGCUAAUACCGGAUGAUGACGAAAGUCCAAAGAUUUAUCGCCCAAGGAUGAGCCCGCGUAAGAUUAGCUUGUUGGUGGGGUAAUGGCCUACCGAGGAAACGAUCUUUAGCUGGUCUGAGAGGAUGAUCAGCCACACUUUUCCUCAGACACGGGAAUGACUCCUACGGGAG